This 217-nucleotide ribosomal RNA is filed under the name uncultured bacterium. RNAcentral describes it as "partial 16S ribosomal RNA". It matches the Rfam family "Bacterial small subunit ribosomal RNA", at positions 326 to 535 of the family's 1533-position model. The record is from RNAcentral.
GGGAUCGCCCUUCCUACGGGAGGCAGCAGUGGGGAAUUUUGGACAAUGGGGGAAACCCUGAUCCAGCCAUGCCGCGUGAGUGAAGAAGGCCUUCGGGUUGUAAAGCUCUUUCAGCCGGAAAGAAAUCGCACUGGUUAAUACCUUGUGUGGAUGACGGUACCGGAAGAAGAAGCACCGGCUAACUACGUGCCAGCAGCCGCGGUAAUAAGGGCGAUCC